CGGCCGCGUCGACGGCGGACGGGUGAGUAAUGCCUAGGAAUCUGCCUGGUAGUGGGGACGAACGUUACGUAAGGAACGACUAUACCGCAUACGUCCUACGGGAGGAAAGUAGGGGAGUCUUCGGUACCUCACGCUAUCAGAUGAGCCUAGGUCGGAUUACUGAUGUGAGGUAGAGCGACUGAUUGGAUGCGAGGGCUUCACCGCCUAUCAAGUCCUGACAAACUCCGAAUGCGCAUCAGUUUUACCCC
Molecule: ribosomal RNA, 248 nt
Filed under: uncultured Pseudomonas sp.
Lineage: Bacteria; Pseudomonadati; Pseudomonadota; Gammaproteobacteria; Pseudomonadales; Pseudomonadaceae
Description: partial 16S ribosomal RNA
Source: RNAcentral